AUUCUUUCUUUAGCUCAGUGUGUCUGUACCUGCAGAAUGGAAAGGUUUUAUGGGGUUACUAGAGGGUGAAAUCUGCACAUAGUCUUGAUAUGACAUGAUGAAAUCAACUUGAUGCUGAAAAAGGAUGAGGUACAUUUACACUGGAGAGUCUAGACUACUAUUUGUUGGGCUUUUCUUUCUUUCUUUCUUUUUUUCUUUCUUUCUUUCUUUCUUUCUUCUUUUUUUUUGGUGGUUUUUAAUUAAUCAUAAAUUUAGCACGUUCAUGACAAUUCUUCUUGAGUUUUUUCAUCUGACAUUGUCUACACAAGUUUACAUUUACAGUUCGAAGACCCAAACCCCCUUUAGGAACUACAACUGCAAACUGACAAUAACAGUCCAGCAUCAACAUAUCCAACAGCAACCCAGAACAUUUCAUGAAGUACUGAGUAAUAUACAACAUCCAGCUUGAAGCAUUGUUUUCUGUGUCUAUUCAGUGCAGAAAUCCAUCACUGAAGUGGAAAUGCAGGCUGGUGACAAAGCUAACAUCAAAUGGCUUCAAUCGAAGAUGUUCAGCAUCAAGACAAGAUUGAGUGGCACAGUCUAAGAGACAGACAGACAGCGGUGACAGGUGCUCUGAUAGAGAGAAAUGCAUGGAGUUUGUUUGCGGGCAGAGGAAAGGAGAGAGAAAGGCUGGCGUGACAAUAGGACUGACGUGAAGAUGAAGUGUCUGCCGUUGACACAGAUAUAGACUGACAGUUACAAAUACACAAAGACAGACAGAAACUAAGGGAGUAAACAAGGAGUAUGAUAACUAGAGUAUGACAGUAAGGUUAUUGCUUUGGGAAACCCAGCC
This is a long non-coding RNA of Cyprinus carpio carpio, 832 nucleotides long. NCBI's taxonomy places the organism in Eukaryota, Metazoa, Chordata, Actinopteri, Cypriniformes, Cyprinidae. The record is from Ensembl.